RNAcentral lists this ribosomal RNA (460 nucleotides) under uncultured bacterium. RNAcentral's name for it is "partial 16S ribosomal RNA". It matches the Rfam family "Bacterial small subunit ribosomal RNA", at positions 338 to 795 of the family's 1533-position model. The record is from RNAcentral.
CCUACGGGUGGCAGCAGUGAGGAAUAUUGGUCAAUGGACGAGAGUCUGAACCAGCCAAGUAGCGUGAAGGAUGACUGCCCUAUGGGUUGUAAACUUCUUUUAUAUGGGAAUAAAAUGUUCCACGUGUGGGAUUUUGUAUGUACCAUAUGAAUAAGGAUCGGCUACCUCCGUGCCAGCAGCCGCGGUAAUACGGAGGAUGCGAGCGUUAGCCGGAUUUAUUGGGUUUAAAGGGAGCGUAGGUGGAUUGUUAGGUCAGUUGUGAAAGUUUGCGGCUGAACCGUAAAAUUGAAGGUGAAGCUGGCAGUCGUGAGUACAGUAGAGGUGGGCGGAAUUCGUGGUGUAGCGGUGAAAUGCUUAGAUAGAACGAAGAACUCCGAUUGCGAAGGCAGCUCACUGGACUGCAACUGACGCUGAGGCUCGAAAGUGUGGGUAUCAAACAGGAUUAGAUAGCCUUGUAGUC